This 281-nucleotide ribosomal RNA is filed under the name Enterobacteriaceae bacterium GR1-E8. RNAcentral's name for it is "partial 16S ribosomal RNA". It matches the Rfam family "Bacterial small subunit ribosomal RNA", at positions 199 to 469 of the family's 1533-position model. The record is from RNAcentral. Lineage: Bacteria; Pseudomonadati; Pseudomonadota; Gammaproteobacteria; Enterobacterales; Enterobacteriaceae.
GACCAAAGAGGGGGACCUUCGGGCCUCUUACCAUCAGAUGUGCCCAGAUGGGAUUAGCUAGUAGGUGGGGUAACGGCUCACCUAGGCGACGAUCCCUAGCUGGUCUGAGAGGAUGACCAGCCACACUGGAACUGAGACACGGUCCAGACUCCUACGGGAGGCAGCAGUGGGGAAUAUUGCACAAUGGGCGCAAGCCUGAUGCAGCCAUGCCGCGUGUAUGAAGAAGGCCUUCGGGUUGUAAAGUACUUUCAGCGGGGAGGAAGGGUUGAGGUUAAUAACCU